RNAcentral lists this transfer RNA (72 nucleotides) under Camelus bactrianus (Bactrian camel). It matches the Rfam family "tRNA". From Rfam's summary of the family: Transfer RNA (tRNA) molecules are approximately 80 nucleotides in length. Their secondary structure includes four short double-helical elements and three loops (D, anti-codon, and T loops). Further hydrogen bonds mediate the characteristic L-shaped molecular structure. tRNAs have two regions of fundamental functional importance: the anti-codon, which is responsible for specific mRNA codon recognition, and the 3' end, to which the tRNAs corresponding amino acid is attached (by aminoacyl-tRNA synthetases). tRNAs cope with the degeneracy of the genetic code in two manners: having more than one tRNA (with a specific anti-codon) for a particular amino acid; and 'wobble' base-pairing, i.e. permitting non-standard base-pairing at the 3rd anti-codon position. Lineage: Eukaryota; Metazoa; Chordata; Mammalia; Artiodactyla; Camelidae. The record is from Rfam by way of RNAcentral. RNAcentral also lists the same sequence under 2 other names.
GGGGGUAUAGCUCCACGAUAGAGCACCUGCUUGGCAUGCAUGAGGUCCAGGGUUCAAUCCCCAGUGCUUCUG